Molecule: non-coding RNA, 1710 nt
Organism: Malus domestica (apple)
Lineage: Eukaryota; Viridiplantae; Streptophyta; Magnoliopsida; Rosales; Rosaceae
Source: RefSeq, a predicted model, not a curated record
GUCUAUCAUCAGAAAAAAAUAAUUAAAAAACACAACAUCAUGGCAUCUGGAACAGUUCCCCACCACUGUUCAUCACGUCUUUCCUUUCUUCCGCACAUCGUUCCUCGCAAUUCCUCUAAUUUUUGCCCACGCGUUCAUCGCUCUGCACACCUCCUCUUCAAUCAUCCUGUCCACGCGUCGAUCAUCGUCGAAGGGCUCUGCUUCGACUCCUUCUCGACUUUUCCUCUGACUCUCCUUCACUUUGCGGUCUUCUCUCAUCUCUCACUCUUUCGCAUGCUUUCUUUCUCUACCCAAGAAGCCUUCCAUCCAUUUCGAUCUCUCCCACAAACCCUUAUGUUGCUAAAGCUUGCCUUCCCUCGCUCUCCGAUCUCGAUUUCUCUCUCACUUUCCUGCUGAAAAAGACCAACCCAGUAGAAAUUUCUCCAGUUCUCUCUCUCUCAAAAACUACAAAUCACAGCGGCCAAACUCCAAAAAAAAAAAAUAAAUAAAUGGAAUUCGAAAAGCCAUUUGCUUUUCCUUGGAUUUGGGUUUUCCUUCGAUUUCUACACUGUCCAAAACUCGCGUCGUGGAUCAAGCUAGGGUUUUCUCUGAGCCGCGAUUGUUGCUCUGUCCUCCGCCGUCUGUCACUGUAAGUCCUUUUUUUUUCCCAGAAUUUUCAAUGCAUCGUUUUCUCUUCGUGUCUAACUUUUGUGUGUCUCUGUUAUAAAAUGUUGACGCCGAAUCUUUGUUGCUGAAAAAUUGCGGCUGCAAGUUUUUUCAGAUUUUCCAAUUUCGUUGCCAAAAAAAAAAAAAAAAAAACUCCGACGACCAGCGUUUUGUGAGCAAGGAGAAUGACCCCAGUUAGCUCCAACCUUACGGUAAACGAGAGCUACUCUACUGUUUACGCAGCAGGGAAAGGGAAGGGAAGUAAAAAUUAUAAGGAAAUGCAUAUAAGUUACAAGCUUUUAAUUAAAAAUAGAAAUGGAGUGACAACAAACAAAAUAUAGGGAUUAAGUUCAUUUAAGUAUGGGUUGUUUUGUAUUUGAAAUCUGAAAGGAGAAACAGAAAUUACAAGAAGAAGAGGAAGAUUGCGUUCCGAUCAUGGCCUUCUCUUCCUGCCAUUUAUCCAAAUCCUGACAAGGAUCUUAUUGAAAAGCAAGGAAGAAGAAUUGAAUUAGAUUAUUGCGGGGCUCAGGAAAAACUAUGCUUCUUUACAAGAGAAAUUUACGAAAUAAGAGUUGGAUAAGAUGGUAAGUAGAUGGGUUUGAUAUUCAAUGUGGCUGGCUCCAUGUGCAAUUGUUCUUGCUAUUUAGGCAAUUUCCUGGAACAUUGAGUAGAAAAACAAAUUAGAAUUUUGUUGGUUUUUUCUUUUAUGAAGUGUAAGCGUUAAUGCAUUUCAUCCUAAUAUGCAACUUAUAUUAGUAUCGCAUUUUGAAAGGUUAGCAUCUCAAGUGAACCAAAUUUACCAUUUUCCAUUUAAAUGAAUUUUAAGAUAACCUCCGGUCCAUGUUUGUUUAACAAUUUUUUAUAAUUCAUUAUAUAGUUUUCAAAAAGGUCGUGCAUAAUUCUUGCUGAACUUGGUUUGGGUUUCUUUUGUUUACGGAUGGAGUGAGUUAAUCACAGUUCUAUCCGGUUAGUCAUGUUCCCAUUGUUGCAUGACUUUUUGAACAGAAAACAAGGUUUAUUAUUUCAAUUUCCACAUCUACUUUUGAUUUGGUAGAUGUUGAUUAA